RNAcentral lists this ribosomal RNA (483 nucleotides) under uncultured bacterium. RNAcentral describes it as "partial 16S ribosomal RNA". It matches the Rfam family "Bacterial small subunit ribosomal RNA", at positions 29 to 506 of the family's 1533-position model. The record is from RNAcentral.
AUUGAGCGCUGGCGGAAUGCUUUACACAUGCAAGUCGAACGGCAGCACGGGGGCAGCCCUGGUGGCGAGUGGCGAACGGGUGAGUAAUACAUCGGAACGUGCCCGGUCGUGGGGGAUAACGUAGCGAAAGUUACGCUAAUACCGCAUACGAUCUGAGGAUGAAAGCGGGGGACCUUCGGGCCUCGCGCGAUCGGAGCGGCCGAUGUCAGAUUAGGUAGUUGGUGGGGUAAAGGCCUACCAAGCCGACGAUCUGUAGCUGGUCUGAGAGGACGACCAGCCACACUGGGACUGAGACACGGCCCAGACUCCUACGGGAGGCAGCAGUGGGGAAUUUUGGACAAUGGGCGCAAGCCUGAUCCAGCCAUUCCGCGUGCAGGACGAAGGCCUUCGGGUUGUAAACUGCUUUUGUACGGAACGAAAAGGCUCUGGCUAAGACCUGGGGCUCAUGACGGUACCGUAAGAAUAAGCACCGGCUGACUACGU